UGGGAAUUUGGACAAUGGGCGAAAGCCUGAUCCAGCAAUGCCGCGUGUGUGAAGAAGGCCUUCGGGUUGUAAAGCACUUUUGUCCGGAAAGAAAUCCUUGGCUCUAAUACAGUCGGGGGAUGACGGUACCGGAAGAAUAAGCACCGGCUAACUACGUGCCAGCAGCCGCGGUAAUACGUAGGGUGCAAGCGUUAAUCGGAAUUACUGGGCGUAAAGCGUGCGCAGGCGGUUUGCUAAGACCGAUGUGAAAUCCCCGGGCUCAACCUGGGAACUGCAUUGGUGACUGGCAGGCUAGAGUAUGGCAGAGGGGGGUAGAAUUCCACGUGUAGCAGUGAAAUGCGUAGAGAUGUGGAGGAAUACCGAUGGCGAAGGCAGCCCCCUGGGCCAAUACUGACGCUCAUGCACGAAAGCGUGGGGAGCAAAACAGGAUUAGAUACCCUGGUAGUCCACGCCCUAAAACGAUGUCAACUAGUUGUUGGGGAUUCAUUUCCUUAGUAACGUAGCUAACGCGUGAAGUUGACCGCCUGGGGAGUACGGUCGCAAGAUUAAAACUUAAAUGAAUUGACGGGGUCAUAGCUG
Molecule: ribosomal RNA, 579 nt
Filed under: uncultured bacterium
Lineage: Bacteria
Description: partial 16S ribosomal RNA
Rfam family: Bacterial small subunit ribosomal RNA
Source: RNAcentral